GGGAAUGUGAGGAAGCUGUUGCAUCACUAAUGGUUACUGCAGCUAGAUUUUUUGAUUUACCAGAGUUCUGUGACAUUAGGCCACUAUUUCAAGAGAGUUAAGUGAACUCUGGAUUAUUAUGUGGAUCAAAAGUUUGCUGAGAACAUAGCUUCAAAGCCUCCCACAUUGGUGAAGAAGGUCUUGGCCUACUGUAUUGCUGCCAA
Rosa chinensis is the source of this 203-nucleotide long non-coding RNA. RefSeq lists it as uncharacterized. The transcript is spliced from 3 exons. NCBI's taxonomy places the organism in Eukaryota, Viridiplantae, Streptophyta, Magnoliopsida, Rosales, Rosaceae. The record is from RefSeq and is a predicted model, not a curated record.